This 859-nucleotide long non-coding RNA is filed under the name Cyanistes caeruleus (blue tit). RNAcentral's name for it is "lncRNA (ENSCCEG00000005808.1)". Lineage: Eukaryota; Metazoa; Chordata; Aves; Passeriformes; Paridae. The record is from RNAcentral.
CACACCCGCACAAAAAUCAUUUUUUUGGGAAGAUUUUCCCCCCAUUCCCACGGAUUUUAACCCUUUCUUUCCCCCCCAGGAGGGAGAAGCUCCCCACUUCCCUGGGCCCCGACGGCCGCGACGCCGACGCCACCUUCGGGGACAAGGAGAAGGAGUUCCUGUCCCUGGAUGACAUCCCCAGGACCAGCCAGGACAGCAUCAACAUGAGGAGGAGUCAGCAGCUCGCUGCCACCAACAUCGUUCCCCUGACCCCGAUGGCGCUGGUGGCCCCGGAGGAGGCGGAGAAGAAGGAAAAUCCCCUCCUGAGGUGACUCCCGAGUGUCCCCGUGCCCUGGUGCCAUUGUCCCUGUCCCCAUCCCCUGGUGCCAUUGUCCUGUGUCCCUGUCCCCAUCCCCUGGUGCCAUUGUCCUGUGUCCCCAUCCCCUGGUGCCAUUGUCCUGUGUCCCUGUCCCUGUCCCCAUCCCCUGGUGCCAUUGUCCCGUGUCCUGUGUCCCUGUCCCCAUCCCCUGGUGCCAUUGUCCUGUGUCCCUGUCCCCUGGUGCCAUUGUCCUGUGUCCUGUGUCCCUGUCCCCAUCCCCUGGUGCCAUUGUCCUGUGUCCCUGUCCCCAUCCCCUGGUGCCAUUGUCCCGUGUCCUGUGUCCCUGUCCCCAUCCCCUGGUGCCAUUGUCCCUGUCCCCAUCCCCUGGUGGCACUGUCCUGUGUCCUGUGUCCCUGUCCCCACCCCCUGGUGCCAUUGUCCUGUGUCCCUGUCCCCAUCCCCUGGUGGCAUUGUCCCUGUCCCCAUCCCCUGGUGCCAUUGUCCCGUGUCCUGUGUCCCUGUCCCUGUCCCAACUGGGAUUGUCCCUGUCCCUGGGAUGUC